This 271-nucleotide unclassified non-coding RNA is filed under the name Hevea brasiliensis (rubber tree). Lineage: Eukaryota; Viridiplantae; Streptophyta; Magnoliopsida; Malpighiales; Euphorbiaceae. The record is from RNAcentral.
AAUUUGUAACUGGAAUUAGCUUAAUGAGAAUCAGCUUCCUGCACGUGUUUCGCAAGAGCUGAUUGUGCAAGUUAUGGAAAGUAUUGAUUUGCUGAUCGGAUCGAUUUUUUUUUGCCCUUUGAUGCAUACAAGUUAAACAUAAUCUGCCAAAAGAGAAGGCUUGCUCAAAUCUAUUUUGCAGGUGAAACACCGUUGUAUUGCCAUUGUAAGUAAAAAAGAAUUCCUUCACCAGGAGUUAUGUACACCGCCAUUUUUGGUGAUUGCCUUGUUG